This 123-nucleotide small RNA is filed under the name Alkalimonas amylolytica. Its description in RNAcentral is "t44 RNA". It matches the Rfam family "t44 RNA". From Rfam's summary of the family: This family consists of a number of bacterial RNA genes of between 135 and 170 bases in length. The t44 gene is found between the map and rpsB genes in all species in the full alignment apart from Shigella flexneri. Lineage: Bacteria; Pseudomonadati; Pseudomonadota; Gammaproteobacteria. The record is from RNAcentral.
UUAUGCUGCGAAAUGACAAAUAACACACAUACAUCGGCACAUGGGCCGGGGUGCCUGCACUAUCCUGCACAAUAAAGCGGGUUGGUAAGCGGGUCGGAACAUGGGAUGUAUGGAGGCCUAACC